AGUUCAUAUCGACGGCGGUGUUUGGCACCUCGAUGUCGGCUCAUCACAUCCUGGGGCUGAAGUAGGUCCCAAGGGUAUGGCUGUUCGCCAUUUAAAGUGGUACGCGAGCUGGGUUUAGAACGUCGUGGGACAGUUCGGUCCCUAUCUGCCGUGGGCGUAGGAGAAUUGGUUGGGGCUGCUCCUAGUACGAGAGGACCGGAGUGGACGCACCACUGGUGUUC
RNAcentral lists this ribosomal RNA (221 nucleotides) under Haemophilus influenzae. RNAcentral describes it as "partial 23S ribosomal RNA". It matches the Rfam family "Bacterial large subunit ribosomal RNA", at positions 2497 to 2717 of the family's 2925-position model. The record is from RNAcentral. Lineage: Bacteria; Pseudomonadati; Pseudomonadota; Gammaproteobacteria; Pasteurellales; Pasteurellaceae.